AGGGGGUGGUGGCGUGGCUCCGCAACUUUGGAAACUGCCAUUUCAUUCACACAAGGCACUGCCUGGGGGAGGGGGCUGUUCCUGGCUGCAGAAUUCUAGCUCUCACGAGCACGCAGAUAACCGCACUCGCAGCGGUGUGGGGCCGGCUGCUCAGGGGAAGCCCCGGGCUCUCCGACCCAGCUACCGGGUAUGGGGCACCCUUUGGAGAAGAACCCCAGCCUGGGGUGGGGACGCACCGGCUCUCCGGCAGCUCAAACACAGACAGAUCUUCUAGAGCAGGGGAAAUUUCUUUUCGCAGAAGCCAUUACUCCCCCCGAGAGAAGGCUGCAAAGCUGGGAAGCCUGGGGUGUGCUCCUCCCGCCCUUUUGGACCCCCGGGCUUGCACCGGCUGCACUCUGAGAACCAGCUGCGCGCCGAGCGGUGCAAUGCAGCACCCACCCUGUGGGCCUGGCAAUUGCUUGUCAUUAAAAGAAAAAAAAAAUUACGGAGGGCUCCGGGAGUGUGUGUUGGGGAGGGGAGACCGAUGCUUCUAACCCAGCCCCCGCUUUUCGUGUUGUGCAGCUGAGCGCCAGGCCAACGUUGAGCAAGGCCUUGCAGGGAGGUUGCUCCUGUGUAAUCCCGGAAGAAGGCUAGUCCGAAGGUGCAAAAUAGCAGGGAGAGGACGCGCCCCCUUAGGAACAAGACCUCUGGAUGUUUCUUGUUUCAAAUUGAAAGGAGUGGGGCGCCCCCCUUGUUUGAAAAUAAAUAAAUAAGUGCGAGCUAC
RNAcentral lists this non-coding RNA (763 nucleotides) under Pongo abelii (Sumatran orangutan). The record is from RNAcentral. Lineage: Eukaryota; Metazoa; Chordata; Mammalia; Primates; Hominidae.